GGUUUCGUGGUGUAGUUGUUUAUCACGUCAUUCUAACACAACUAAGGUUUCUGGUUCGAACCCGGUCAAAACCA
This is a transfer RNA of Arabidopsis thaliana (thale cress), 74 nucleotides long. It matches the Rfam family "tRNA". From Rfam's summary of the family: Transfer RNA (tRNA) molecules are approximately 80 nucleotides in length. Their secondary structure includes four short double-helical elements and three loops (D, anti-codon, and T loops). Further hydrogen bonds mediate the characteristic L-shaped molecular structure. tRNAs have two regions of fundamental functional importance: the anti-codon, which is responsible for specific mRNA codon recognition, and the 3' end, to which the tRNAs corresponding amino acid is attached (by aminoacyl-tRNA synthetases). tRNAs cope with the degeneracy of the genetic code in two manners: having more than one tRNA (with a specific anti-codon) for a particular amino acid; and 'wobble' base-pairing, i.e. permitting non-standard base-pairing at the 3rd anti-codon position. NCBI's taxonomy places the organism in Eukaryota, Viridiplantae, Streptophyta, Magnoliopsida, Brassicales, Brassicaceae. The record is from Rfam.